GUUUCCCUCUCUCUGCAACCAAACAAUGGAGAGAAUAAAGUUUUAAUCCUUCUCGUAUUGUUCUGGACACUCUCCACGCAUGCGAGGAGUUUGGUCAGGGUCUUUCUCGAAACUGUCUAUUGUACUGCCACAUCGUGAGAAGAUGAUGGUAUGGUACAAAUGUAGAUAGCCAUGGUAUCUAGCACUGCAUUUACAGAAGCUUAGCAGCCCACCCGGCCUUCAUGUAGGCCUACCGGUACAUUGAUUUAGUUAAUGAAUUAUGAGUGACUUCCUCACGCACGCUGUUAUUGUAACUGAACCACUGAGGACCAGGAAUGCUUAUUAAAAGUGGACCCACAAUGAUUAUGAUGACAGUACAGUACUGCCACUUUUUAAAGGGUAAUUAAAUUAGCGCCAUGUCUGCAUGACAGAAAUAGUAAAAUGGGGAUACAAAGCAGACCUGGCGAUAUAUUAUCGUGCAAUGUUAGCAUCAUUGGGAAUUGCCAUUCUAAAUUUUAACUUCUUCAUCUUUGCGAAAAUUCGGGCUGCAUAGCAGCCAUCUUUUAAAUCUUUUUUCUGAUUUCAUUGCCAAUGGUUGUAUGCAGAGGUACAAAUAAUACCCAAAAGAUUCAGGAGCAGAUACACUGCCACUAAAAGUGACUGACAAUAAUCUUCAGAUUGUGGCAUGUGACCUCUUUGCUAGACCGUCUGACCCAGAUUUGUUUGCCUUCUCUUUUACAGGCUGCACCAGCAAGUAGGCCUGAGGCAACUUCUCAACCUGUGAACAAUAGGAAGUCAGUCAAAGCUAAGCCUCGUAGUCCACUACGAUGCAAGACCUUCUGGACAGUGGACAGUGACACAUUUGUCUCUGUAGCUUCUAAUUCCUGGCAGAGGUGUUUCUUGGUCGUCUCGGGGUUAAUGUGCACCUUUCUAACCAAUGUGGGCUCAUCUUUGGCUGUCAGCUUGCGCUUUCUUCCUGACCUUGGUAAGGUUGCUGUUGUCCCUGGGUCCCUGUACUUCCGCUUUAUUGUCUGAACUGACGCCCGUGGCAUAUCAAGCUGCUUGAAAAUGGCUCUUAGUGAAGUACCAGACUGGUUCAAGUGGACAGGCGACUCUAUCAGAUCUUGAGAGUACUCCUUUGACCCCAUGAUGGCUCUAGUCUAAGCUGGCAAAUGACCUGAGCAGAAACCCAGUCCAUUUUAUACUGCUACAGUGGCGCCACCUGAGCUAUGACAUAAUCAUGAUGGUCAACAGGUAGUGGAGACAAGAUAAAAGCCAUUGCAUAACAUAUUUGCCCACCUCAAGGCCAAACAACUAUAAGGUAGGUGUAUGUAAACUUAUGACACUCUGAAAUAUGCAUUGUUUUCAAAUAGAGCUCAUAAAAACAAUGAAAUUAAUGAAACAGAAGUAUGUUUUUUAGUUGAUGACGAGAUGUGAUGAUAGACUUCCUGUAAACUAUAUACUCUUCCUGCGUUCUGUAGUUGCAGAGAAAAAGACAGGGUUAUAUCAUCCUUUGAAUUGUAUGUAAACUUUCGAGCACGACUGUACUCUCUAAUUUUUGCCUUGGCCUCCAGAAAUAAUAGUGUAUUUUCAAAUUCUUUCUUACCAAACCUGAGUGUGUGUUAUUAUUGCACCACCAAUAUCCAAUUUGAUAACCAGUACGCAUGUACCCAAUGGUUUGGUUGUCUAAUUUUCUAAUUGUAAUUUCUAAUUCUAGUGUAAAAGUCAAUAGUUCCCUUUUUUGUCAUGGUAAUGUUGUGGGCAUUUUCUAUUCUUGGCUCACAUGGGUGAGCUUAUAUCCUUACGAUUUCAUCUUGUCCAGCAUUGUUGGCUUUGACUUUGUCUGUCGUUAAGCGAUUUUAUCAUAUACCCUAAGUGCAGUGAUCUGGCAGACGUAUAUGAUAAAUAGAAAACUGCACGAGUGUCUGAUCCGAGUAUCCAGAUUGCACUCGAUGAAUUUCUACGCAGGUCGAGAGCUUUUCAAGCCGUAGAAAAUCAUCUCGUGCAAUCUGGAUACUCGGAUCAGACACUCGUGCGGUUUUCUUAUUGUACAUGUAAUGUAAGAAGCACUAUCAAUGGAAACACGUACCACUUUUUUCAGAAAAGAAAAGCCAGCAAGGGAAAAGCAAGCAAGGCGAAGGGAGACUAUUGCGCAGCUGAGAGAAUAGACAACUACGACCCCAAAAACAACACGUAUUACAUAAAGUGGCAAGGAUAUGAUGCGUCCCACAACUCAUGGGUAAAAGCGGAAGACGUAACUUCUCCUCUCAUCUCUUCUUACAAAGAAAAAUUAGGUUUCGGAACGCACAAGAAGUGAUGCACCUCAUGUCUUUCGAUUGUUGAACAAAUUUAUGUGAAUUUGUGCAAAUCCUCCUGCCUGUGUUUUUUUGUUCAGUGGAAUUCACGUAUUUCGGUAUUCCUUCUUCACCUCCACGCAUUAUUCAUUCUGACAUAAACUCACAUGAUCACUUUUGAUGAAAGAUUACAUAAUGGAUAAUAUUGAAUUCGUGCAAAUAUUGUACAAUGUAAACUUAUCAUAUCUUUCAAAGGUCUCAUUAAAAGUAAAUGUAAGUUACAUGUACAUGUACUGUGGAAUUAUUGUUUUUUCAGACAAUCUGUGGCUGUUGUAUACAUGUAUCAUUCAAUAAACGUGGCAUUUUUCAUAUUAU
RNA transcript from Lineus longissimus, 2648 nucleotides. RefSeq lists it as uncharacterized. The transcript is spliced from 4 exons. The record is from RefSeq and is a predicted model, not a curated record. Lineage: Eukaryota; Metazoa; Nemertea; Pilidiophora; Heteronemertea; Lineidae.